GACGUAGGAUGCAAGCGUUGUCCGGAAUUAUUGGGCGUAAAGAGUUCGUAGGCGGUUGCCUAAGUCUGAUGUUAAAGCCUGGCGCUCAACGCCAGCAUGGCAUUGGAAACUGGGCAGCUAGAGUGUGUCAGAGGUUACGGGAAUUCCUGGUGUAGCGGUGAAAUGCGUAGAUAUCAGGAGGAACACCGGUGGCGAAAGCGCGUAACUGGGGCAUAACUGACGCUGAGGAACGAAAGCCAGGGGAGCGAAAGGG
Molecule: ribosomal RNA, 253 nt
Filed under: uncultured bacterium
Lineage: Bacteria
Description: partial 16S ribosomal RNA
Rfam family: Bacterial small subunit ribosomal RNA
Source: RNAcentral